This 240-nucleotide unclassified non-coding RNA is filed under the name soil metagenome. Its description in RNAcentral is "partial contains 5.8S ribosomal RNA, internal transcribed spacer 2, and large subunit ribosomal RNA". The record is from RNAcentral.
AACACUGUUAACCUGCGGUACCUGCGGAGGGAUCAUCAAAGAAUAACUUUUUAUGAAAAAGUGGGGGGAUAAAAAAAGGGAGGGGAGGAAUUUCUUCUCUCUCUCUCUCUUUCUUUCUCCUCUCUUUUUCUCAAACAAAUGAUCACAACUAAUAAGGAAAAAAUAUUUGGUUUGGUUGGUGGGGGGGAGAGAGAGAGAAAAUCUUUGAAAAAGUGCUUGCCUGAUAAUUUGAUGGUUGGA